RNAcentral lists this ribosomal RNA (461 nucleotides) under uncultured bacterium. RNAcentral describes it as "partial 16S ribosomal RNA". It matches the Rfam family "Bacterial small subunit ribosomal RNA", at positions 338 to 795 of the family's 1533-position model. The record is from RNAcentral.
CCUACGGGUGGCAGCAGUGAGGAAUAUUGGUCAAUGGGCGCAAGCCUGAACCAGCCAAGUCGCGUGAGGGAAGACGGCCCUACGGGUUGUAAACCUCUUUUGCCGGGGAGCAAGCCUGAGCACGUGUGCCCAGGCGGAGAGUACCCGGAGAAAAAGCAUCGGCUAACUCCGUGCCAGCAGCCGCGGUAAUACGGAGGAUGCGAGCGUUAUCCGGAUUUAUUGGGUUUAAAGGGUGCGUAGGCGGUUCGAUAAGUUAGAGGUGAAAUCCCGGGGCUCAACUCCGGCACUGCCUCUGAUACUGUCGGGCUAGAGUUUAGUUGCGGUAGGCGGAAUGUAUGGUGUAGCGGUGAAAUGCAUAGAGAUCAUACAGAACACCGAUUGCGAAGGCAGCUUACCAAACUACGACUGACGUUGAGGCACGAAAGCGUGGGGAGCAAACAGGAUUAGAUACCCUGGUAGUC